RNAcentral lists this ribosomal RNA (331 nucleotides) under uncultured Oscillospiraceae bacterium. Its description in RNAcentral is "bacterial SSU rRNA". It matches the Rfam family "Bacterial small subunit ribosomal RNA", at positions 28 to 339 of the family's 1533-position model. The record is from RNAcentral. Lineage: Bacteria; Bacillati; Bacillota; Clostridia; Eubacteriales; Oscillospiraceae.
GAUGAACGCUGGCGGCGUGCCUAACACAUGCAAGUCGAACGAAGCACUUCCGGUUUGAGAUUCGUCAAGAACUGGAUUUGACUUAGUGGCGGACGGGUGAGUAAUGUAUGAGCAACCUGCCUUUCAGAGGGGGACAACAGUUGGAAACGACUGCUAAUACCGCAUAAUGUAUUUUGGGGGCAUCCCCGGGAUACCAAAGGAGCAAUCCGCUGAAAGAUGGGCUCAUAUCUGAUUAGUUAGUUGGCAGGGUAACGGCCUACCAAGACUGCGAUCAGUAGCCGGACUGAGAGGUUGAACGGCCACAUUGGGACUGAGAUACGGCCCAGACUCC